RNAcentral lists this ribosomal RNA (778 nucleotides) under Encrasicholina devisi (Devis' anchovy). RNAcentral describes it as "partial 16S ribosomal RNA". It matches the Rfam family "Bacterial large subunit ribosomal RNA", at positions 585 to 1860 of the family's 2925-position model. Lineage: Eukaryota; Metazoa; Chordata; Actinopteri; Clupeiformes; Engraulidae. The record is from RNAcentral.
GCAAAGAUUAAACCUUGUACCUUUUGCAUCAUGAUUCAGCAAGUAAACUCAAGCAAAGAGAACUCUAGUUUGAACCCCCGAAACUUGACGAGCUACUCCGGGACAGCUAAUUAUGAGCCAACCCGUCUCUGUGGCAAAAGAGUGGGAAGAUCCCUGAGUAGAGGCAAAAAACCUACCGAGCCAAGUUAUAGCUGGUUGCCCAAUAAAUGAAUAAAAGUUCAGCCCCACCCAGCCCAACUCGAAACAGUACAACUACCAAAGACAAAGAGCUUGCGUGGAGGUUAGUCAGAGGAGGAACAGCUCCCCUGAUCAAGGAUACAACCUUAGUAGGAGGCUAUAGAAUAUUAUUAGCAAGGCUUAAGGUUGCAGUGGGCCUGAAAGCAGCCACCUGACCAGAAAGCGUUAAAGCUCUAACCCCAUCAAAAGCCCAUUAUUUUAUUUUUUAAACUAACCCCCUACCCCCUCAUUGGGCCUCCCUAUGCCUCCGCCAUAGGAGAGAUCAUGCUGAAACGAGUAACAGGAAGAACGAACUUCUCCGAGCACAAGUGUACGUCAGAUUGGACUAACCACCGACAACUAACGAGCCCAAUAGAAGAGGGCCCUACAGAUCCGCCACCUUAAGCCAAGAAAAAUCUGUUGUACUUUUAUCGUUACCCCUACACAGGAGUGCUAGAACAAGGAAAGACUUAAAGAAGAAAAAGGAACUCGGCAAACCUAAACCCCGCCUGUUUACCAAAAACACCGCCUCUUGCUUAAUGAAAUAUAAGAGGUCCCACCU